GGUGGAUAGGAGGAGAGCAUAACCAUUUUAGUUAGUCACAUAUAUUUCCAAGAUGAAGGCCUUUCUUAUCGCAUGCUUUCUCUUAGCUACCAUCGUCUUCUCUCCCCUGUCCACUUGCACUGCUCGAGAAUUGGCCGAGCGAGACGGAUCCCGAGGAGCUCUUGACCCCGGCAAAGUUCCAUUCAAUUGCGGAAGGGGUAAUCGAUAUUGCGUGCCUAAAACACCAAGAGGUUGCCCAAAUCCUUACAAGCGUAACUGUGGGCGCUCUUAAGAUUAGAAGGAAGCAAAGUUGAGUGCUUAAAAGUAUGGAGAGAUUCUGCUGUCUUUAUCAAUAUGUAAAA
Long non-coding RNA from Populus nigra (black poplar), 341 nucleotides. RefSeq lists it as uncharacterized. The transcript is spliced from 2 exons. The record is from RefSeq and is a predicted model, not a curated record. Lineage: Eukaryota; Viridiplantae; Streptophyta; Magnoliopsida; Malpighiales; Salicaceae.